UGAAAUCUUGAAUUGUCUUCCGAUUUCUCUACCUAAAACUAUACGUAUAUUUAUUUAAGACUAAAAUGUUCUUCUUGGUUUGCUAUUAAACAAACUCGCAAAUUAUUUUAAGUUAUUCUUAUUCUUAAUUUAGAUGGCCAUUUAAAUUUAUUAUUAAGUUGAUUUUGUUUAUAAUUGGUGAGGCCAUCGAAGAAAUCGAGAUUCGACGGUGCAACCUAUAUAUGGCUGGCUGUGUCAUUAAUUUCGUUGAUAUGUCGCAUUCAUCGAUCAUCAUGUAAAUGGAUGGGAAAGCUAGCUAUAAAUUAACUAUCUAU
Molecule: long non-coding RNA, 314 nt
Filed under: Brassica napus (rape)
Lineage: Eukaryota; Viridiplantae; Streptophyta; Magnoliopsida; Brassicales; Brassicaceae
Description: long non-coding RNA (BNAP_LNC017908)
Source: RNAcentral